Non-coding RNA from Pseudonaja textilis, 4674 nucleotides. The record is from RefSeq and is a predicted model, not a curated record. NCBI's taxonomy places the organism in Eukaryota, Metazoa, Chordata, Lepidosauria, Squamata, Elapidae.
UCUUAGCAUUGCGUUGAACCUAAAUCAGAGACUACUUAAAUAAUAAUCUGAUGGGUGCAAUUUAUAACAAAACCUGAAGCUUGUCAAAACUGAGAAAAUAAAUCUGUUUUGUGAUUUAUAGAUAAGAGAGACAGACAGACAGACUGUUCUAGGAAGCACAUUGCAAAGGGAACAGAACUGCAGGAAUAGGACAUCUUUAGAAUUUUAUCAGUAACAGCAAAAUUGCAGUAGACUAUAUCUAGUAAAGACUGUCUUAACUGAAGAGAGAGUUCUUGUAAUUAGCUUUGAAUUAUGCAUUAAUACGGUCAGGAUAGAGGUGGUAUGUAACUCCAUUAGUUGCUUGAUGGAGUUAUAUAAAUAUUAGUUUUUAUUAUGAAAGCUAGUGGAAUUUGGUCAGAACACAAGGGAUAAUAAACCCCAUUGAAUUAAAUUGAAUUUAUUCAAUGUAUAUAUUGCCCAUCUCACUACCAAGUCGCUCUGGGCAGCCCUCUUAUUAUAAGAUGGAUCCAAGUAUCCUUCUUUAAGAAAUAUUUCAGCUUUAACAUUGUCAUAUUGUCUUAGGUUAUCAUAAUACUCCCUCCAAAUGCAAAAUGCUUGAAGACAGAGAUGUGACAAAUAGAUUUGAAAUUUUGAAGCUAGAAAAAACUUGAUGUUGGUGUUCUAACUAAGUAACAAAGCAGUUUAGUAAUCAGGAUUUUAAAUUGGUAAGACUUUUGGAGAUUCCACAAUAAGAUAACUACUGAAGUAUCAUGAUUUAUAAGAAUUUAUCUUUAAGAAAUCAAAUAUUACAUUUUAAAAAGCAAGCCAACAUACUUUUACCAUCACAUCAUACCAACUAGGCUGUAUUUCUGAAUUUAUUAGAAACAGCGGUCAGUACAUCCUUCUAAAACAUUACAUUUAAAUGUGCUUUAUUGCAAUCUUUAUUGCAUUUUUAUUUUAAAGCAAAAUAGGCCAGAAUGCUUAGUGUCUGGAAUUCCAAAGCUCAAUCAUCUAUUUAAAAAAAAUAAAAAACAAAGAAACAUCAUAGUACACUUGGUGACACAUAUGAUGUUGCACUACUCAUCUAGAAACUUCAAUAUUAUUAACAUACAACUGUUUUCUCCAUGAAGCAGUUUUUUUUCAAAAGUUAAACAACAUGAAUUGGGCUACAUCAUAAAAUGACAGAACAGGUUUUACAUACCAACACGAAUACCAAAGUUACAUGCUGGAAUUCAUAUUAAAAAGAAUAAAAAUAAAAACAAUAGUUGUGGCUUCGUGAGAAGCAAAUCUUUUGAUAAAGAGUAUCCAUUAAGAGGAAAACCAAAAUGUAUUUCAAGAAUGCAGUGCUUAGGUGUGAGAUGUACAAAGGAAUGCACAUUCCUAGCAUACUCCAUUAAAAUUAAUAACAGUAUAUUCUUCGAGAAAAUGAUACUCUAUUUAUAUCUAGAUAUAUCUGUUUCCAUAUAUUGCAAUUAAUGUUACAGCACUGCUCUCCUUUACACCCUAUUUCUAGAUGUGGCUUUCACUUUAAAAAAUGCAAAUAUUACUUUAUCUCAAAAGAGUUGAGGACUUGUAGAAAGCAUUACAAUUUUGCUUUAUUUGAAGCGAGAGAAGACUCACUUUACUUUUUGUAGCGAGGGCAGUCAAAAUAUAAUCCAGUUUCAGGCUAAAUGGUUCCAGCAAGAGGUGGGCAAUUUGGACUCUGUGGGGUAAUGUCAUGGCUAAUGCGUAUAAAUGUAUAGGUGAACCCAUUUUCCAUGUAUAUAUACACGUAGCACACUUGCUCACAUUCAAAACCACAAACAGAAAAGGUUGCAGAGCAAUAGAUGACAUGGGGCUGAAAAGUGGCAAAACACAAUUAAUAGAUUCAUGUUUCUUUAUAACCAGUCACCCCAAACUCAAAUACUCUAUACAGGUUGCUAAACUGGCACAGACAGCUGGGGUGAAGGGUACGGAGAAUAUUGUCCUUUAAAAAUGCCUGGAAAUAAUUCUGUUUUCCUACCAAUCUGUUACCUGCCUUAAAAAAUGCUGCAAGGUGUUAACUGCAAUCCUUCUACCUUUGUAGGCAGAUUACCAAAUCAUGUGGAAAAUCAAAGUAGACUUUAAAUGACCCAUUGUUUUAUUUUUAGUGUUUCAGUUCUCUUCUGUCGAGCUCAGAGUUGCUUCUGUGCUAUUUGCUGUGGAGCUCUUUAAAUUAUAUUCUAAGUCACCAGGAGCUCUCUGUAUCAAGACAUGUUGCUGAAAACAUAAUAGAAAAAAAAUUGCCUUAAAAACUAUGGUGCCAGCCAAAAUGGCAGUGCUUGAAAUUUUUUUUAAAAGAAAAGUCAGAUAUGAGGGGAAGUAAAAAUCAUUUACGUUAUCAUUAAAAUAAUUCUUCUGCAUAUUUGCUAUAGGUAGAAAUAUUCAAAUCCUUUCCUCUUUUCCAGAAUCUUACUGUAUCUGUCAAUCUAACAGUAUGAUCAUUAAGAAAACAAUUGAUUCUUUGUAUUUCAAUGUAGCUUUUGCAUUUUCAACAAAAACUUUGUAAAACCAACUAAUAUAAGAUCAAGUGCCUGGAUUGUGAUCUAUCCCAUUGAAACAAGAAAUUUAAUCCCCAAAAUUUGAAUAACUUCUAUAUUUCUUUACAUUUUCUCCAACAUGAGGCUUUUAGUAGAAUUUAUCACGUUUCCUUGACAUUAAAUAUCAUCUGUAAAAUACUGUUUUCUCUCAUUCUCACUGAAAUUUAUUUCUGUUGUUUUAGUUUUGUGAGGGUGUUAAUAUUCCAAAGGAAGAUAAGCUUUCCACACACACCCCAGCAUUUCCAUAGCAUUAAUUAACUGCCACUUCUAUUUCAUUGUCCCCCCCCCCCAACUGUGAGAUAAUGAAAGAUUGCUAGACUAGUAAAAACAUAGAAUGGAAAAGAGGCACUAUUCCAGGGUAAUGAAGAAUCUAUCACUGGCAAAAAAAUAUAGCCACUAAAAGUAUGCUGGAAUAGAGUGGUAGCCUAAGUACAACAGCAACAAGGGCUGUAGAGCCCAACUUUUUGAUGACACAGAAUAUUUUUCUUGACUUAAGCAAUGAAGCAGCAAGAGGUGAGCUGCAGGAAGUAUUGUGGCAUACCUAAAGUUUCUAUGAAGGUGGAGAAAAACCUGGGUUUGAAGAGAAGGACUGAUGACUCAGGUAUAAAGAAAAGGCAAAGAUAGCAACACUGAGACUAAUGGUGGCUCCUUAUUCUUAAUGUUGAAUUUAGCAUCUGCCUAAUCAUUCCAGAAAGAACAACACCAUUAUUUUGUUUUUUUAAUCUAGCAUUAUGCCCUAACAUAUUUCCACUGUAGUGUUUGAAAACAAUCCUAUCUUUGAAGUAAGAUCUUCGGUUUUGUUUUUGAACAAGAAUAACUUUUACUAUUAAAGUUACUGACAAUCAAAUCUACAGUUAAUUUUGGCUAAAUUUUAAGCAAAUAGGGAGUUUCAAGAAAUGCAAAGAAUUAUCCUUCCAAUGGCAAUUCUCUUUAAGGAUAAAAAAAGACUGCAUGUAAAUUUACCUCAUAAACUUAUUCAAAUAUCCCAAACCAUAAAUCACUGAUUUAAGAAUUAAAGUGCCCCAAUUAAAAAAAACAACCAAUGGUUGACCAUAUAUUCAAACGCUUGGCUAUUACCACAUAUAACCUUUAACCUAAAAAAAGUUAGCCACAAUACACACUACCACUUUAGCUUUUUAUUCCCCGUUAACUGUAAAUUUAAGAUACACAAAAUUUAAAACAAAAACAAACAAAAACCCCAAUAACCAUACAUUUCAUCAGGAAAAAAAAAUCAAGUACCAAAAAGGGAUUUUCCAAAUUUGAAAAAAGAGCAAAAAAGCAAAAUUGCUACAUGAACAAACACUGAAUUAAGUCCCUGUGUAUCUUGUCAAGACUUUUCAUAGUGAGUGCCAACGUUUAUCCCCCAAGUCCGUAACAUAGCACUAAACAUGUCCCAAUUUCUUUAAACAAACCACUGUAUACCUAUUCCAAGACAGAUUGAAUGACCUGCUCUAUUCCUGAGAUUAUGCAGGUUGAUGUCUUAUAGCAUUGAUGUGGCUUCUUUUAUUUUAAUCCAAGUGCUACAUUAUAUAAAAGAAAUACAAUAUGACUGCAGAAAUUGCAUAUAAAUGAAUUCAGUUUAGAUGGAUUUGAUGGAUGUAGCUGGAAAUUGGAGUACUGUAUCCCAGAAUAAUGUCACUUAGUCCAUGAUCCCAAUGAAUCCUAUGGAUGUGCAAGAAGUUGUAACAGUGGUAGUUUAUAUGACUUUUGAAAAACAAAUAUAUGCAAGAGUACUUUCUGAGGCAGCGUAAGAGGGAAUGGAGACACAAACAGCUCCAGUUUGCUCAUACGAGCCCUUGUAUAUGUUUAAAAUGGGUCUCUAGUUCAUAAACUAUUCAUAUGAUUAAAUGAAUGGUUCAGGGUUCUGCUUAGGGCUAAGAGUGCAAAAGAGAAGUUAUAUCCUAGAUGUUUUGUGAAACCUUCAAUUAAAUGUAUGCAUUAGUUCUUGUUAAGUACUACUGGCAAAUAAAUUAAUUACCAGAAAUACUGGCAUUUCAAUUGUUUUUAACCUGACCCACUGAGCAUCACAGUAAAUUUAGCAAUUGCAUAAAAGCUGAACUUGUGAGGAAACAAAAUACUGCAAAAUUCUCAAUCAAAAUGUGCUAUAUUAGACAACACUAUUUCGUCCACCAUUUAA